GUAAUUCCUGACUGGGACAAAGCUGCGAAAAACAAUAAUUCAAGGUUCCAAAAGUCACAGAUUCUCUGCAAGAUUUUUGCAGCUCAGCUGCUGUAGAAUCUAAUCCUGAUUCAAAGGUAGAGAUGUCCCCAGAACCAUUUUAAGCACUUGGAGGAGAGGAA
Molecule: long non-coding RNA, 161 nt
Organism: Trachemys scripta elegans
Lineage: Eukaryota; Metazoa; Chordata; Testudines; Emydidae
Exons: 3
Source: RefSeq, a predicted model, not a curated record